GUACGGGAGGCAGCAGUGAGGAAUUUUCGUCAAUGGGGGAAACCCUGAACGAGCAACGCCGCGUGGGCGAAGAAGUCCUUCGGGAUGUAAAGCCCUUUUCCCUGUGAAGAAAGAAAGACGGUAGCAGGGGAAUAAGCAUCGGCUAACUACGUGCCAGCAGCCGCGGUAAUACGUAGGAUGCAAGCGUUGUCCGGAAUUAUUGGGCGUAAAGAGCGCGCAGGCGGUUUGACAAGUCAGAUGUGAAAGAGGCCGGCUUAACCGGCAAGGGUCAUUUGAAACUGUCAGACUAGAGUGCAGCAGAGGAUAGUGGAAUUCCCGGUGUAGUGGUGAAAUGCGUAGAUAUCGGGAGGAACACCAGUGGCGAAGGCGACUAUCUGGGCUGCAACUGACGCUGAGGCGCGAAGGCUAGGGUAGCAAACAGGAUUAGAAACCCUAGUAGUCC
RNAcentral lists this ribosomal RNA (442 nucleotides) under uncultured bacterium. RNAcentral describes it as "bacterial SSU rRNA". It matches the Rfam family "Bacterial small subunit ribosomal RNA", at positions 339 to 796 of the family's 1533-position model. The record is from RNAcentral.